GCGCGGGGCGCCCCCGCCCGCCGGCGCAGCCUCGCGGGACAACGGCGGCCGAGCUGCCUCCCCCCGCCUCCUCGCGGCUGCCCGAGCGCGACCGUUGGCGCCAGGGGAGCGGCCCCGGGGGAUCCCGCCCGCCCUGGGGCGCGGGGCGGCCCCGCGGAGGCGGGAGGGGCGCACGGGACGGCUCGGCCCGCGCCGCUUCGUGCUGCCGGGGCGGCGGGAGCCCUCGGCGGGACCGGGGCCGCCCCCGCCGCCGGCAGCGGGUGUUGAUGGGGCUGCGCAGAGCUCGUCUGCUCGGGGCGGCGUGGGAUGGCUGCCGGGCCACGGGCCUGCUCAGAGAUGGUGAUCCGAGGCCGCUUGAAUUGAGCGGCCGUAGUUCAGUCCUGAGAUAAAAACAGCCUUAAAUCCUAAGCAUAAUCAAGAGUUCAGUUCUGGGGAAAACCGACUGUUUCCAGGCUGCAAGCGUGACUGUGAACACAGUCUCAGUGGCAUCAAUACAGGCCCCAUGAAGUGCUGCUGGAUCAGCCGAGAAGAUCAGGGUUUGACAAAAUUGCUCCAUGAAGGGUUGAGCCCAGCCUGCUCCUGCGGAACAGGAGGUGCUCUGGCUGCCAGCCUGGCCUCUGAGGAAAGGCAGCUCGUUCUGCGGCCAUGCCUGCUCUGUAGGGCACCGGCUGGAGGGAGCGGUUGUGGAUGAGUGAGGAAGAGUUGCCCUCUUGAUAGGGGACAACGUGAGGAAGGCCGGGUGUGAGCAGCAGCAAGACUCCCUUCAUGAGCAGGAGCUGCCUGCAAACAGUGCAAAUGUGUUGAGCUGUCACCACCUACUUUGACUGACGGCUGGUAUUUCCAGUUGGAGGUGUGCUGCCAAGGCGCUGCUAGGUUUUCAGGAAGCUCUGAACAUCUCCAUGUGCAUUGUGUUCUCCAGCUUCAUUGGAGCAGAGAAGAUGCUGUCUUUUUUUUUUUUUUGUCUCCCCCCCCUUUUUAGCUUCAGAAAUACUGGGUGGGAUAGGUUUUGUUCUCUUUUUAAAAAUGUACUCAUGUUAUACAAAGCAAAUGUAAUUUACGUAUGUAUAUUACUUUGGAUAAUUAUAGCAGACCAUUCUGUGCAGUGCAUUACUCCACUUUCCAAACCGCGUUCAUCACAGUGCUUGAUGUUUUCCUCUCAUUGUGUAUUAAGCCUUUUGACUUGACUACUUACUUUCACCUAGACUCCGGAGAAGAUCUGUGACACUUGCAUGGUGUUACUGAAAGUUAUGAUUUCACUAACUGGGAAUGGAGGACAUUCCAGGAUAUGCUUUUAGGAGGGAGUCAGUGGAAUGAAUGAACUGAUCUGCAAAAUAUAGACCAUAUCCUUAUGCGAGCUUAAAAGGCUUUUUGAGCUUUGUAGUCAAAGGGACUUGAUUUAUCUGGAAACUUGGCAUGUUCUAGUAUGACUAGCAAGCUCAGUAGAGGAGUUCCUCAAGUAACUUUUUACUUUCAGUAUCAUAAUAAAAUUAUCUGGUAAUCCCACUUGUUCUCCUGUUAAGAACUUCAUACAGCUAUCGGAUGGUGCACAUAAGAGGCGAUGUAUUCCUGGAUUCAAACUGCAUGAGUACCGCUGAGCUCCAGAACUGCAAAUCCCGCCAGGAAUAUUCUAGCUCUCAUCAAAGUUUCUGUGUAGUGUAUGUCAUCAAACCUUGUAACGGUAGAAAGGGGCCUUUCCUUAGCAAAAGAGCAAUUUAUUGCUCAUCAAAAAAAAGUUGUACGUGGAAAUCAUGGGUUCUCCUGUAGCUCUGCUGAAUGCUUGUUUUCAGUUACCAGAUGGGAGACCAGACAUUGAAACAAGUAGAACAAGAGUACAACAAUUUUUGUUCACAGGUAAUAACUUGGACAUAUCCACGGAAAGGGCUGAAGAUACGCUGUGCAUUUAAGUAUCCAGCCUAAAACUCAGUUCUGUCUUUCAGUCCCCUAGUUAUGUAUUCAGCAGUAAUUACUGCAGGAGAGGUACUCCACAAGGAAAUUAAUUAAGUACUUUAAAUUAUCUUGGUUGUAGUGUGGGUACACCUGGAAGCUCAUCUUUGUCAGAGUUUUAGUACACUUUUUAAGUAGGAAAAAAUAAGCUGGAUAGGAAUAACUCAUAUGAUCCAUGACAGGGUUACCGAGAAAAACAGAAUUAGCUAUUGGAAAUAGUUUCAGGUAACCAUUUGUUCUGAGAUUAUGGACUCUGAUAGUAGAAGCAGCCUUUCACAGCUAAGGUUUUCAUAGAUAUUUACUGGUUUGUUUAUAUAUCCCCUCUUCCUCUCUCUUCUGAGAGUUUAAUUGGAUUAAUAAACCCUAAUGUUUAUGUGUUAUCUAACCUCUGAGCAUCUUGGAGCAUGCAGCUUCUUUUUUAUGAACCUCAACAUUUCUUCAUGCAACUAGACAAACAGUAGUUCUGGAUCUUUGAAUUUAAAGUGACUUUAGCAAAGGCAGUUUGCUCUGGAUCUGAGUAUCUGAACUAAAUCAGAAAAGGACUUGGCAGCAGAUCCAAGCACAGCAGUUACUGGAAUAUGUCAUCAUUGUGUUUGGUCUGAGAUACUAGAAGCACUCAGGAAAGACUCCCGAGAAACAAACCAACUCCACCAGAUCUUAAGUUCUCAGAUAAUUUAGUUUUGAAUACACCAGAAGAGUUCCAGGCCUGUGCCAGAACAAACGGUUUCAAGAGGAGUUAGACCUAUUCAUCAUUGUUUUUCUGUUUUCUGCUACCUGUUUUUUUCUUUGGCAUUUAUCUCUGUCUCAGGUAUUGUUUGUAUGUAGUAUAAUGUACUGCACUUGUCAGUGGAGCGCAUAAUAAUAAUAACAAUAACAACAACGUAAUUUGACAUGUUUUGCCCAUUAUUUUCUCUCAGAAUAUGACCAUGCUAAAAUAGUCCAACAAAGAAUACAGAUUCCUUCCUUUCGUAUGUUAUCUGAAGAACAUUUAAUAAUGAAAAUACCUCUUGAAAGAGGCACAUUAAUAGCUUUUUUAAAAACAUAACUGCAAAAAGAGAGUAAUUUUGAAGUGAAUUUGAAGCUGCUUUUUAUUUCCUUGGUGAAAUUCAGGAUGAACAGAUCUACAGGUGGUACAGCCACAUCAGGUUGUGGAAGUUUCUUGACCUGACUUUGUUUCAAAUACGGAAAAUGACUGAAACAGCCCGGAAAGCCACCAGAGGCCUCUGCCCGGGUGCAGGUGGGAUCCUCCUGCUCUGCCUUGGGAUGGCUCCUCUGUCUGGGAAACAAACCUCCAGCACGCUCCCUUCCUUCUGGGCUGUUGGUGUUCGCCGUUUUAGAGCCAGAGCUCUAUCCUGUGCCACCACAGACCAGCGCCAGCUGCUCUCCUGGACCUGAUGGGAGAUGCUCUUCCACCUGUACAGAUUCCUCAGGACUGGAAGCCCCACAGCAGCAGGCCCAGGGUUCCAUCAGAAGGCAGAGCUGCCCUCAUGAUCAUCUGUGUCUGUCUCCAGGGAGUUUAUUCUCUGUUUCAAAGGCUGAACACUUCCGUGAGCUGUGAGGCUCUUCCCUAGGAUGGGGAUGUGGGGGAAAACAUAUGCUGCUUGUACCAAUACGUUUCCUUUCUCAGGCUUAGGUGGCACAGGAUGGCAGUUUGUCUUCUGCUUUGCUUAAGGUGAGCACUGGGACCUACACUGAGAUAGGAGCCACACUGGUAGCCAGCUCUCAUGCCUGUGCCAGUCACAUUGAGAUACUUCUAGCAAGUUUGGGCUUUUAUUUUUCUUUUUUAUUUCUUUUUUUUUUUCCUUUUUUUUUUUUCCCCCCUGAUAGUAUCCUCAUUUACCAUUAGUUGCUCCCUCACUGUAUCUUCCUGGUGUCUUAGUUUCUUGUGGUCCAACCAGAUGUCUUGUUGAACCCUCAUGGUGCUUUCACGGAAACUGCUGCCACAACUUCCAUUGCUGUGUAGGGAAAUGAUACAGCUGCAGGUAGGAUGGUGUCUGUGUAGCUUUUCCUAGAACUGCUGCUGCAUCACAAGGAUCCGCUGCACCAACAAUGUGGCUGGUGUUGCUGGUUUUCUAUUUAAUGAGGCUCUCUGAAUUCAAGUGUGCUUUUUUUUAACUUGUCUUCCCUCCUAUGGUUUUACGAAGUUGCUUCCUGCCAAAUACAGAAUCAAGGAAUAAAAAAAACCCUCUCUUCCCAAAACCAAGCACCAAUGCCCUGCAGACCAUUUGGAAAACUAAUUUAUCUACAGGAUCCUCCCCCUUACCCCCCUCUCCGCUUUUCUUUUUUAAUUAAAAAUACUGUUUCCUGCAGAACAUAGCUCUAGCUUUCUCUCCUCAGGCACACAUCCUCAGAGCUGUAACCAGCUGCUCUGCCAGAUCCUUUAAAAAACCAAAGUACUCUAUUCAGCGAAGUAAACAGUGCUUUAGAAGGACUGUAGGCAGGUAGAGAAAUGCCACAUAUUGGGACUGGAAAGAGUGCAUUAGCGUCAGGUAAUUAGGAUAUACUUUCCCAGCACAGUAAUACUCAUUUAUCACGAUUUCAAGGCAGAGGAACUGUGACUGUGAACUUUAUCCCAUGCGUUAAUAUAUUAUUCCCCAUGAACUCAUCAAACCUUACUUCUUGGAGAAUGAAAGUUUGAGAGUAUGAGACACUGGACUCCUUUCAAGAAAAGCUUUGAACAAACCUGAUCAAAAGUUCAAUGUUUAAAUGGCAAUAGGAAGUUCUAAGAGUAGCUAAAAUUUUUAUGCAAAAGACAGUUACUGCUCCUGUAACUGGAAACACGUUUUAUCUUUAGAAGUGGAUUUUGGUGCAUCUUCACUUCCUGAAACGAGGAACGUCUUCCAAUACCAUAUUGAGUGCCAGGACAGUGUAAACAGCACUACAAGGUGGUGUGUAGCUGACAAAACCAGAAUGUUGGCCUUAAUCUCUCAUUAAGAAUAAGCUAGAAACCAGGGCAAGUCUUCAUGCUGGAAAAGUAAAGGGAUUUGCAGGAGUGCCUGUGUUGUGGCAGCAUGUGUGAGUUCCUCAGUCAAAAGUGGGGGUGUUACCUGUCAUCUGUGCUGUUCACCUGCAGUUUCUCAAUGAGAUCUGACACAGCUUCUGUAUGGCUGGUGAUUUUUGUGCUCUACAGAACAUCGUAAUGUUCUUUAAGCUAAUAAAUAGAAAAAGAUUGUUGACUUAAAGGAACCUCAGAGAAAACUCAAAGCCUCAACUGCUGAGUUUACAUGGAACAGCAGGUUAGGAAGAAAAAAAGGAUGAGAGAAAAUGGAAAGAACUGCAUUUUGGCCAAGGAAUAGCAAGCUUCUCAAAGAAACUGCUGGGAAAAGAUUUGGAUCCUGGAGAGGAGAACUGACCACAUGGGAGUUGCUGACAGUGAUCAAGGAACAGAUGGUGGAGUCUGAGGUUCAUCACUCUUCCCUAGUGAAGGGCCAGCUUAAAGUGUGGUUUGAGGACUCCAAAAAAGCGACUCAACUCCUCGGUCUGUGAAAGUGGAAUUCAGAGGCAACAGCAUAGUGAUCAUAUGGAUAGAUGAAAUGGAGAGAAGGAAGUCUGGAAAUGAAACUCCAAAAAGAGUGACUAGAAAUUACCUCUGGAGAUAAUACAGGGAAAAUUUGGUUAAGGAGUAAACCGAUGGGCAGAAAACAGCUAAUGGCCAAGUUCCUCGUUCAACCUGAGACAACUUCCUUAAGAAUAUCAAUGAGCGCUCCUGAAGCUGAGGAAACCUCAGCAACCCCAGUGCCUGCUGCCAUGCACAGAACUGCAACACAAUGUGACUUUUCCUUCACAAUGAACUUGCCAUCUCCAGUUUAUUCCAUGACUUGGCUCCAGCUGUUACUGCGCUUCGGAGUUAUAUGCUGGGUUCCAGAAUUAAUCCAAGAGUGAUGCUGCUGUAUCAGAGCAGUUCAGAUGCUGGCCAAUGUGGAUGUUAUUCUGUUCAUCCUGCAACAGGCAGGAUGAACGUCCUCCCUUGCAAUGUAAUUCACUUAGAGGUUAUUGGCAAAAAUAUUUUUUGGGUAUUACCCAAUUUAAUUAAAGGUCAUCUUCCUUAUCUAUCAGAAGUGGUUAGUGCCCAACUAUAAGCGGUUAAACCCUGUUUUGGGUUUCUCUGCCAGUCACUAUUAAUGAUAUGGUUGCUAGCACAGGACCGUGUGCAUUCUCCAUUGCCCGUUUUCCAGAAUCAGAUGCUUAUUCAGAGUGUAAGAAAUAACUCUAUUUUCCAUGCUCUUUGAAAUUCUAAUGAUGCAGCAAUUCCUUUCUGCCUUAGUCUCUCUUUCACUAGAUUAUCUAAAAUGCUGCUGUUUCAAUUUUAUAUUCACUUACUCCCAACCCAAUAAACUUACCUGUUUCCCUGAUGCUGCACAUACAUUCUCCACUGCCUGCAUGUCCUACGGAGGUCACUUCUGUUGUUUUUCUCCACAUUGACCUUCGCUCCUAGCUGUCCUGUCUAGAGUACCUUGACUCCUUAAAUUCCCACAGUUCAGGAAAAUAUGGGGAUGUGCAGGCAGAAAAUUGUGUUAACUUUCCCUGAUAAACAGCUUUAGAAUUUCUUUAUUAACGCCCCUUUCUGCAUCAGCUAAUAGAAGUUACAUUCACAUCUGAGAUUAAACAAUGUAAGAUGUUCUUAGAACAUAUUUUUUGUUCUCCGUUUUAAUAGUUGCUACAUAUUGGUUAAACUACCAAGACUCUAAAUAUGUAGGAAAAUAUGUCAUACAUCUUAUUUCAUCACUGUUCAAGGCAAAGCCCUGCAGUCCCCGGUUCUUUAUAUCUUAAAUGACAAAAGCUUAUUACUAGUCACUAAAAUGCAGUGUGCCAAGAACUACAUUAUUUAGCAUAUUGCAUAUGACUUUGUGACUAUAGUGAAUAAAGGUGAUGUUUUCAAAAGCUACUUCACUGAUCACAGACAAAGAAUUUAAAAUUAGCCCCCAAGCCCCCUGCAAUGCUAUCACACUUAUUUCAGAAGAUUCAACCAACACGUAAAAUGGUCUGCAGCAGAUUUGGAUGCUCUUCAGCUCUCCUGCAGGUUAAACUUCAAUAAAGCGAGUAAUUAGAUGCAUUUAACAUCUGCUGCAAAGCCACCAACAUGACUUUUUGAAGCUUUGUACCAAGACUCAUAAUUCUAUUACUGGUCUGUUUCCAAGUUACCUGAAGUGGGAGGGAAAGCAAAAAUGCCUUUUACAAGUGAAAUGUGUUUUCUAAGUGUUUUCAGUGAAAACACUGCUCCUUCGCACCUCUUUUGAAUCAGUGCAAUGUUGCCCCUGCUCAAAGGCUGUUGUUGUUGCUAGUAUGAUGGAUCUGUUUCCUAGAUGUAAAUACACGUAAGUGCAAGUAGCUACAACUACCAGUGUACCUCUAGAUACCUGAAUGAUGAUACUCACAGUUUUUGCUUAAAGCAGUUAAGAUACUGACAUGCUAUAUGGCUAAAAAAAGUCUAUUUGUUUCUUAUACACCCAGCUUCCUUAUUUUCAGCAUCAGAGCAACACAAAAUCAGGAUCAAGGCCAUUUGCUUGCCUUUGGCUGAUUAUUGAACAUACGUUUAACGACCAGGCAAAAACCCGCCCUCUUCCACAGCAAAAUGAACACACUAUUUCAAUUUCCUCAAUAUCAAGCAACACAGACCAACAAGACGUUCAAGUGUAGAUACAAUUAAGAGCUUUAAUCAGAGCACAGACAGUAGAGAAUACAAUAUUUUUAUUUUUUUCCUCAAAAGAGAAAAAAAUACUUCAUAAGUAUUUUACAAAUUGUAAAUUUUCCUUCGAAAAAUAAUAUACAAAUGCUUUUUGCUGAAAAACAUAAUACAUUUCUAUGUUACAACUGUUGCCUUAUUUUAGAAUUAUGUAUUCCCUGAAAUGUUCUCCUAACAAAACAGGAGAGUAUAAUAAAUCCAAAAGUAUAACAAAUAUAUUGCUAACUAGGGUGGUAAAUCUAAAGGAAAUUAUUUAAAAGAUCCAGUCCCUUUAUCUGUCAGAGUGCUAAACCAAACGGAUUACUCACACAAACUAAAUUAACAUGAAAAAAUGUUUUGAGCAUCAGAACUCAAAGCAAGAUUGAACAAUGCAGUCAGUCAAAUCUCCGUGUUCUGAAAAAUAUGGUACCGUCAUGCUUUGCUUCCAACCUAGAAAGCAAAUCAGCUACUUUGGAGCUUGGCAUUUUAGGUUGAUUAAUUCUCAUCUUCAGAAUUAAUGGUAAGAGAGAAAACAAUCCUUGUAGACAAAAAUAAGAGAUGAAGCUACUAGUUAUUGAGAUUUAUCCAGAAAAGGACAGUGCUCAGAAUACAGUUUGUAUUUUGCCCCAGACAGGUAUCAUAUAGAAGUCUUUAUGUAUUUUCUGGUACCCUACUACUGGCUUUCGGUUGUCACCGUCAUUCACUCUACUUGCCACAUUCCACCUCUUGCUGAAGUAGAUUUGUCUCAGCCAUUUAACAAAUGAUUCUUCUCCAGAGCCCAGAAGACUUGCUGAAAAAAACCCACAAAGCACUCCAGUAACUGUGUUGAGCAAUCUAGGGAAGAUCUGAGGAGAACUUUGACUUGUGGACAGUUGGAAUUAUGACUAAAACAAUGAGCAACUUUGAAUGAGGAAUAGAGAGUGGUGCAAUAGAAAAAGUACUAAUAAAGCUUUAAUGAAAAAACAAAA
Molecule: long non-coding RNA, 8574 nt
Organism: Columba livia (rock pigeon)
Lineage: Eukaryota; Metazoa; Chordata; Aves; Columbiformes; Columbidae
Exons: 4
Source: RefSeq, a predicted model, not a curated record